AUGAGCUUCUACAGCCUUCCGAAGACUCUUCAUCACGAGAUUGCCACCGUUCAGGGGCGCUUUUUCUGGGCCGGCGAGGGAGAUAAGCAGAAAUACCACAUGGUCAGGUGGUCUGAGAUCUGCAAACCUCGCGACCAAGGCGGCCUCGGGAUCAUGUCCUCCAAACGCAUGAAUAUUGCCCUUCUGACUCGGUGGCUCUCGAGGAUUAGCAACGGAGAUGGUGGCCUGUGGCUGCGCAUUAUUCGGCAGAAAUACCUCCGAGGCCAGCCUCUCGCCUUCUGUCAGCGAUCUGGGGGCUCCUAG
Molecule: ribosomal RNA, 303 nt
Filed under: Triticum aestivum (bread wheat)
Lineage: Eukaryota; Viridiplantae; Streptophyta; Magnoliopsida; Poales; Poaceae
Description: partial small subunit ribosomal RNA
Source: RNAcentral